CAGUCCACACCAUGCAUGCAUUAUUAUUUUUGUAGCUGUCCCACGUUCACGUCCAUACCGGCAAGCACAUAGCACGGCCCCCAUUUUCAAGUGCAGAAAGUUUGGAAUCCAGAGUGGCACGUCGAGUGCAUGAACUAAUCAAACAUGAUGGUUCUUCACUCGGACCAGGUUUAGUUGGUCUCUAGUACAUAACAAGGCUAGGCUUCAUGACGCUCCAGCUUUAGUUAGUCUAUACUCUAUACACUUCAUCUUCCUCCUUCUCUUUUCCUUCUCUGCUCUGCCAGUGCGUCCACUAAUUUGUAUUCUCCUUUGGUAUUACUCCUGAUACUAGCUUGUAUUUCUGUGCGUUUCCUCUAUGAUCUGCUUCUAGCUCCCCAUUUUCAUGCUCUCCGGUUCUCCAAUUCUCUUAACAGUUGUCCACUUGCAAAGUACACCUUGUGGGGAGUUUGGGAUGGCCGAUUGGAGCAUGGGACCUGCUGUAUGGGUACCCAGUGAUUACCAGCUAUCCAUGGAACCUGCAAUAUGGAUUCCUGGCGUCCCUAUCGAGUAUGCUGUGUCGACUGAGAUGCUUGGUAGCUCCUACCAAUACCAAGCGUCUAUCCCUAGUUCAAGUGAAGAUCAGCAACGGCUGGUUGAGUACGCAGCUGCAGCAGCCACACAGCAACAACAACCACGUGAGGGUGAGCUGGUUGAUUUCCAUGGGAUGGAAAUGUACAUCCAUAGUCCAAUUCGUGUGUUCGAGAAAGCAGCAUAUGAGUUUUAAGGUCAACAUCGGCAAGAUGGGGACCAAGAUGCAUAGAUACCCUACAUACUUUCCAAACCUCCCGACACGAUACAGAGUCCCGUGGACCGUGUCCAUUGGCCCUUACCACCGCAAACAUCCACGUCAACUCCGUCAGGCGGAGGAUGUAAAGCAUGUGGCCGCAUACCACUGCAUCAAGCAGUCUGGCCACUCGGUCCAGGAGAUAUAUGGUGCAGUCGUCUCGGUGGCAGACCAUGCACGCAGCCUCUACGACAAGGAUGUGAUGGCAGGUAUCAGCGAUGAUGUCUUCCUUCCUAUGAUGUUCUAUGAUGCUUGCUUCCUGGUGCAGUACAUGCUUACUUGCACUUCCGAUGGCCUGGAGGAGAUGGAUGAGUCAUUGCGUAGUUUCUUUGACUCCCACGAUGAAGCCAUCUUUAACGACAUCAUGCUUCUUGAGAACCAGCUCCCUUGGGUGGUGAUGGAGACCCUGUUGAGGUUCAGACCUGUGCCCUUGGAGGACUUUGUUGCUGCAUUGAAAGGCUUCCUGCAGGACCGCAAGGAUCUCAACAUUCAGACUGUUAUCCUGGAUGAUUUUUUCAAGCCACCGCAUCUGCUGGGCCUCCUCCGAUUCUACGUUGCAGGAACAAGCAACGCCAAGCAGCCGCAGCUACCCCCAACCGAGUUCAUAUCAUUUUCUGUUAGUGCCGUGGAACUUGCAGAAAUUGGCAUCACCCUCGCAGUAAGCGGAGCAACAGAGCUUGCACAAAUUGGCAUCAAGAAAGGACCCCUCUUCGGAGAGCUGUCCCUGCCUCAACUGUCCCUGGACGACACAAAUGCGAGUAUCCUUGCCAACAUGGCUGCAUUCGAGCUAUGCACCACCGCAGAUUUCCAAGCUGUCCAAGACGAGAAUUCUGCUGUCUGCUCAUACCUCCAACAUCUGGCCAUGAUCCUGGACCGGGUGGAGGACGUGCACGAGCUGCGAAGCAAGCAUGUCCUUCAAGGAGGAGGAGGGCUCAGCAACUUGGGUGUGCUCCAAUUCUUCACAAGUCUUCAGGACCUGCGCCUUGGAUCCUGCUACAUCCGCACGAUGAAACAGAUUGAGGAUUACAGGCAUAAAAGGCAAAGGUGGAUCAAAGUGGUCAAGUUUUAUAAGGAGAACAAGAAAACAAUCGCCACUGUACUAUCCGGCAGUGCUGCACUUGCCAGUAUCUUAGGGACGAUCUUGUCUCUGAAAAAAUAGCAGUUGUAAUGCAGUUUGAUGUAUCUUUGUUAUUUAAUUUUCAUUGUAUCUAAAUUCCAUUUGUAAUAAAAUGUGGAUCCCAUUUGCAGUUUUUGCA
Brachypodium distachyon (stiff brome) is the source of this 2079-nucleotide RNA transcript. RefSeq lists it as uncharacterized. The transcript has a single exon. The record is from RefSeq and is a predicted model, not a curated record. NCBI's taxonomy places the organism in Eukaryota, Viridiplantae, Streptophyta, Magnoliopsida, Poales, Poaceae.